AUUGAACGCUGGCGGCAGGCCUAACACAUGCAAGUCGAGCGAGCGGCGGACGGGUGAGUAAUGUAUGGGGAUCUGCCCGAUAGAUGGGGAUAACUACUGGCAACGGUGGCUAAUACCGCAUACUAUCGGAUGAACCCCUAUGGGAUUAGCUAGUAGGUGGGGUAAAGGCUCACCUAGCCCACGAUCUCUAGCUGGUAUGAGAGGAUGAUCAGCCACACGGGGACUGAGACACGGCCCAGACUCGUACGGGAGGCAGCAGUGGGGAAUAGUGCACAAUGGGCGGAAGCCUGAUGCAGCGACGCCGCGUGGGGGAUGACUUCCUUCGGGUUGUAAACUCCUUUCACCAGCGACGCGGUAGAUGGAGAAGAAGCACCGGCGAACUACGUGCCAGCAGCCGCGGUAAUUC
This 406-nucleotide ribosomal RNA is filed under the name uncultured bacterium. Its description in RNAcentral is "partial 16S ribosomal RNA". It matches the Rfam family "Bacterial small subunit ribosomal RNA", at positions 30 to 526 of the family's 1533-position model. The record is from RNAcentral.